CCUCCUUAACGACAAAGAUUUCCGUCCUGUUCAGGGCCCACACGUUUGCUUGUCUGGUAAUUAAAGGGUGUAGACGCUUUGCAUAGGUCUGUAGCUCAGUUGGUUAGAGCGCACCCCUGAUAAGGGUGAGGUCGGCAGUUCAAAUCUGCCCAGACCUACCAUUUUCAGCAUUUAAAAUGGGGCCUUAGCUCAGCUGGGAGAGCGCCUGCCUUGCACGCAGGAGGUCAGCGGUUCGAUCCCGCUAGGCUCCACCAAGUGUUGGCUUAGGUAGAAGCGUUGAAGAAGUCAGAAUCAAGCAUUGUGUUGCUUGCUUCUGGCUUUUUGGUCGGAAACCGUAAUCUUCAUGAUUCGGUAGCUCUUUAAAAAUUUGGGAAAUGAGAAAGUCCAAGUAUUCAUUGAGAAUGCAAGCGUUAAGAGACUAUCUGACACUUGUGUCUUUUAUGGUGAAUCGUUAUCACGAUGAAAAACCCUGGACGGAUUGGAAUUGUUUGGUCGAAAGGUCACGAUGAAAAAAACUGUUUUUGGGUUAC
Molecule: transfer RNA, 530 nt
Filed under: uncultured Gammaproteobacteria bacterium
Lineage: Bacteria; Pseudomonadati; Pseudomonadota; Gammaproteobacteria
Description: partial 16S-23S ribosomal RNA intergenic spacer
Rfam family: tRNA (bases 85-158)
Source: RNAcentral